UCAACAGCAUGCAUUCCCAUUUCAUCCUGGCUGACAAUGGAACAACUGGAAAAUACGGAGCCGAAGUGAAACUUCGGAGGCAACUGGAAAAGCAUAUUUCACUUCAGAAGAUAAACACAAGUAAGUUGGUCACUGUCCCACUGUCAUGCCUUGUAGAAAGUACACAAAAAGUAAAAAAAAAAAAAAAAAUCAUGCAGCAGUAAUACAUAUACUUGAGCAAAAACAUGGAUCAUGUUUUCUCCUUGGCCAGUGGUUCAAAUGAGAGACAGUGGUCCAGAGGAGGGCAAUGGAGGCAAAAGAACUGUGGUCCAGAGGAGGGCAAUGGAGGCAAAAGAACUGAUGAUGCAAUGACUGGCCCAAGCCCAUUUAUUAUGCAGAACAUUUCAACCCCAUGAGGGGUAUGUCAAUGCAGCUAUGCUUUCCCUCCAAACUUUUUUUUUUUUUUACAUCCUUUUCAUAGAACUCCAAGAAGAAACAGUUACCCUGGAGAUUUUUUUUUUUUACUCUAUUAAGCUUUUCUAGUGGCUAAAAACAAGAAAAAGGAAAGAAGACAGUAUUUUGAUCAUUGCACAGAUCUAGCUACGCAAAGGCAUUUCAAGGGCACUGAACAUCCCCUAAGCUAAAGCAUCAUGCAAAACCAUCUCGAUGAAAUUUUAACUCAUCUCAUAAUUCUAUGUUCAUAUUGUCUCUAGAUAUAUGUUUAGGUACAUGUGUUUAUUUAUGUGCAUCACAUAAUACAUAUCUACUGGUUACAUUAAUAACAUUUCUUAAAUGGCUGAUGGGCUCUAUGUUGUAUUUUUUGUGUAAACAUUUAAGUGUAAAAGAGUACCAACAACAAUGCUCCUCAGAUCACUAAGCAGCUUACGUUUAAAUGUGAUCAAUCUACUGUCCAUCCUCACAAAAUAAAAUUCAGUUUCUUUUCAAAGUACCACACCAGGCUUCAUGACAAGUUCAAACUUGAUGGUAUGAUGUGUCCCCCUCAAGGAAGCUUGGCUAUAAUUGAUUGAAAUCCCAAAGCCUGCAAUUCCAAAUACUAAAAGAUUCUCUUUGCAUGCAUUAGUUUUCAAAACUCCAGUGUAAUGUGGCUCAAUGUGCCCAAAUCAGUUUUCUUUUCUCUGAUAUUUUUCCUGCAUCUAUUUCAAAUGGGUCUCCCCCUUGGUACAGUGGCCUUCCUGCCACAGUUGGGAUGGUAGACCCACCAGACCACAACUUCUCCUUCCUAUACUCUCGUCUUUGGGUGUUUGGGGAAUUACUGCUGCUUAGUAGCCAAGUUUUAUACUUUCAUUCUUUUCACAGUGAAUUCUGAAGUACUGACUUUGGGCCUAGAUCUGAAGUAAAAGUUGUAUUAGAAAACUCCCUUCCUGAAAUGUCUUUGGAAAGAAGAAACACAGUAAUAGGUCAAGGUGAAUGUUUUAUGGAUAAAAAGAAUAGAAAAGACUAGAAAACUGAUUCAGAGGCCAGCAGAGAUCAAAUGCAAUGACACAAUCUUAUCAAUGGGUGGCAGGUUUUGCUAUCAAUACUAAAACUGAAUUUUGUUACAAUAUUUGAUAAAAUGGGCAAUUAGUUGCAAACGUUAUGCAAUUAGUGUUAUCUACUUAGGUUUUUACAGACUGAAUCUUUUCUUUUACCAUCAGUUAGGAAUGAGAACUAAAAGGCACAGAAGCAGGACCAAAAAAAAAAAGAAUAAAGGGUCUAGUUAGGAACUCAGUGAUGAGAAAAAUCUGUCUAUAGACAGGCAAACCACCUUUAUUAUGCUAGGGCUUGCAGGUGCCUGGGCCAGCUAGUCAGUAGUGUGGGAGCAGAGCUGGGUGUGUGGUUAUAUAACUUAAGCUUCCAUCAAAGAGAUGUAAGCUGGAGUUAAAACCCAGUCAGGGCUCUGUUUAUCGAGCCUUGUACCUUACAGAGUUCCCAGAGGAAAGGUGCCCUUUUCUAAUUGGUCAUCCCAGGAAGGAUACCUUUGUGAUGUACUUAAUGUACCUCAAGGUAUGCCUUUCUCCAAAGCUUGCAGAAGUGCUGAAUGUGUGAGUAGUCUGCAGAGGAGAUCCAGGGAGGCUCAUGGACAGUGACCUGGCCUUAGUGAAGAGCAGAGCUCAGCAGCCUGGAAUGUGAGGAGCAGGUCAGAGCAGAUGGUUGGGACAUCAAGAAUGUUGGAAGACAUGGCACCAGAUGCUAGUCUAUGGGUAGGCAGAUCAUCAUGGACACAUCACAUUCUAUUUGUGUAGACACUAGGCCCUUGCUAACCCAUGGAGACAGGUAGCAGCAUAUGGGCACAUGACAAGUGAGGACCAAUCCAGGGUCUAAGGUGUAAAGUAGGGGCAAAGCUCAAACCAGGGCACUUUGGUGACUGUUUUUGAGGCAUCAGUGAAACCCAUAGGCUACCAUUCAGUAUUGAAAUUAAAUAGAGGAAGGUUCCAGAAAUCAACAGAGAUUGAAGUCAUAGGAAGUUAAGCAGUACAGGGUAAGGAAUUUGCCUAUGAGCUGUAGUAAAUGAUGUGUGAUUCAGCUCCUACCCCAGUUCUAUCCCUGAACUUAAGGGUGGCAAGCAAACAACUCAUCCCAGUUUGCCUGGAAUUGUGGCAGGUUUAGCACAGAAAGUCCCAUGUCCCUGAGUACCCUUGGUCUUGGAAAAACUGAGAGAUGGAUUCAAAAGAUACUCAUUGUAUCUGUUUCCCUUAUUACUGUUCUUAGUCCGCAAGGCAGGGAGGGGCACCAAGCUCCUCACAGUGUAAAGGUGAUCCAGACUCACUGACAUAGAGGUCUCCAGCUAUCAGCAAAGAGCCCACAGAGAACACAGAAACCUACAGAACAGAACUGAGAUGAUGGGCAAAAAGUGAACCUGGUCAUAACACAAAGCAGCCUAAGAAUACAAACCCUUGAUGCAAUCCUCCUCAGCCAAUAUUUAGAACAGUACUUUUACUUUCUAAAUCUAGACUUUUUUUUCUUUAUAUCAUAAUUAGCAAUAAUGUGAUUCUUUCAAAAAUUAAAUUUUAUUCUGUGAGUUUAUUCUAAAAAUUCCAUUUACAUAGUGACACGUAGAGAAAUUAUUAAAUUUUAGAGAAACAGCAGUCCUAUGCAGAAUCUUGUUAAGAUAUAUUUCCUUCAAUUUUUUUUCCUUUUAAAAUAAAUUCUGAAAAAUAAACAAAAAAAUGAAUAUCCCAUUUACAUUUUCAUUUCUUGCUUUCAAAGUUUAGGAAAUCUAAAGUACAACUGUGAAACUCAAUUUCCUGCAAAUUAGAGACAUGAUUAUAUACUCUACCUCCUCACCCUUAGGACAGCCCCAGGACAUCUGCACACAUGUGACACUUUCUUCAAUUAAGUGCCAGACCUGAUCACUAGUGGUGAGCUGCAUGUGGCAGUAACCUACUCAUAAUCCUCUUUUCUUACAUAGAUGACAUAAUCCUCUGGAGGGUAUUUCCCUUAAAUAUAAAGUGAAUCCCUCUCAGGACACCCAUAAGCUCUUUCUCACCAACACUCCAAUUAUUUAUAAUAACAUAUUACAAGUGCCAAAUGUUUGCCAUUUUUCUCAGCACUCUGGCCUUCAUUACCUCAUUCUCUCCCCUUCUCCCCACCCAUUCCUACUGUUGACAGUCAAUAGUGAGCAUUGUAAGGGAUUACUGAUGGGCUUUGUUUAUAAAAGAGAAACCUUUUAGACAUGAACAGCUACCUGCUUUAGAACACUAUCUGCAAUUUUUAAUCUUCAAAUUUAAUAUGCAAGGAACAAAGCCAAUCUUCUCGUCCAUAAAUAAAUAUUUACUGAGCUCAUGUACCAGUAAUAGUUAAGAUCUGGAAAGCAACAGCAACAAUUGUUUAAUUCAUUGAUCUUAAGUCAAAGAUAAACAGAAAUAAAUAAGAAAAUAUGUGAUGUCUGAUAGUAAAAAGUGCUAUUAAGAAAAAAUCAAGAUCUUGAGAUAUAUGUCUGCAUGCAUGCUUAUGUGUUUCAGAGAAUCAUUUACAUCAGGUGAUAGGAAGGGCCUCUAUGAGGAGGUCACAUUGAAGCAGAGGCUGACAGACAUGUUGGUGGGGGGUGGCAGAGACUGGAAAGAGCAUUCCAUGGAGAAUUAAAGCAGGGACAGAAUUUCAAGAGUUCAAUGAAAAGCAGGAAAUGCUUGGUAAAAACUUGGAUUUUGUUAUAAUGAGUUUGGAUCUGGCAAUUUAUAGUAUCUCCCUUAAAAAAAGUCACUGAAAUUCUAAUCUAGAGGUUAAAAUGUGGUCAGGGAUAAGAUUAAAAGCAAGGAGAUGCUCUUAGCAGGCUACUGAAGUGUUGCAGGGGAAAGAGGACAGUGGUUUGAAUAAGGAUGGCAGCAGAAGAGGUAAUAAAACAUGGUAGAAUUCAAGAUAGAAAAUAUAUAUAGGCUACUCCAGAAAGCAGCAUCCAAGUACCUGAUGAAGCUUUAAGACCCCAUCAUACAUUUUGUAAACAUUAUUAAAUUCCAAACAUGCCAAAACUAGAGCACAUUAUCAUGGCCAGGGUAUUACUAUGACUAUUAGUAAUACAUAUUACAUAGCAGGCACAGUACUGCUAGUUGACAUAUAACCUAAAACUAUCACCUAGCCUCUGUAUUCAUCAACCUAUGCCCAGGUUUCUUUCUUGGAUAUGUAAACCCACCACUUCCCUCCUCUAUGGAAAUUAAUGAAACCCAGACAGCAUAUCAUUUCAUCCAUACACAUUUCAGUACCAAAGUAUUUUUUUUCAACUUGUGUUGGCCACACAUAGGCUCAAUUUUACAAGUAUCUCCUUAACUCAGUAGCAAUGUAACAGCAAAUGUUGAUCCAAGCAUUCUUUAAUAGAUCUUUUUAAAAAUAAGACACAUUUCAGGAGCAUCAAAACACAGGAGGGGGAUUUAAUUCUGGUUUUCUAUGACACAGUAGGGUAACUAUUUGUUCAAACAAUCGGAUGUAUUUUAAGAUGACUAGAAGAAUCUAAGCUUCCCAACACACACACACACACACACACACACACACACACACAAACGGUUAGUGUUUGAAGAAGUGAGAUGACUCCUCUGAAUUGAUUACUACACACUGUAUACAUGCAUUGAAUUAACAAUAAUGUGCUCAAAAAAAUGUAUGAAUAUUGACUCAAAAAUAUGUUAAAGUUUAUCUUUAAAGUUUGGUGAUCAUCUUUUCUAGUAGACAAUUCUACUCUCAGCUGACCGGAAACCAUCUAAAACAAAUGCUAACAUUACAAUUCUUAAAAUGAAGGUUAGAAAAAGCCCCAGCAAUUUCGAUUUGCCCUCUAAGAGUUUGAAAGGAAGAAUAUAUCUUUAGGGAAUAAAAGGGGAGGAUGUCUAUUCCAAGUCCUAUAAACUGACAGAGGCAAGUAGACCCAGGAAUUUAGAUCAUCAUGUCUCUGUGACCUCAGGCAAGUUAUUGUAUUUCUCUUAGGUUUUUGUUUCUGCAUCUGUGAACAGGAUUGGUAAUUCCUCUCAGUCUUGUGAGAAAGUCAACCUAGGAAAGGAUUCUGCCAUAUGGAAGUUCAGGACAUUGGUUCUCUUUGUGCCUUCUCAGGGGUAUGUGUACCCCAGAGGUCACCAUCAGCCUGUCACAGGUUCCUCCCUAAGACUCACUUGAAGUCUAGGGCAUUCGUUAGAAUAUCUUCACUAGAUUACUUUAGACCCUCAUUCUGGUAUUGAAGAAGUCACAACCCCUGUAGUUAUGGAGAAGUCCCCAAGGGGAAACAGAGGCUUUAAAUUAUACCCUGGCCCAUGUCAUCAAGUCUCUAUUGACAUUGCUUAUCAAAGAGUAAUUGAACAAUUUUGUGGUCACUGCAGUGAUAAUCAGAAAACUGUCUUUUUCUAUAAUACUGUUGAAAAUAUAUUCUAAGCUGUAGUUGUCACUCCAGCUGGAGUAAACAGUAUAAUGAGAAAUAUAAGCUUUCCUUGCAGAUUCAGAUUCUUAGUGUUUAAGAGUAACAGGAUACAUCGGUGGGAUUGUUAGUAUUCUACUUGUUGCAGGUGCCAGAAUUGGGGCUGAAUGUGCAUUAGCCCAGAGUUGAUCUUAAAAAUUAAGUUUCAGUCUACUACUAGAUUUUCUUAUAAUUUACCACUUUAUUCCAAAAGGAUACUAGAAAUAUUUUGGACUGUUUGAGAUAUGGUUUGUAUUUGCCUGUCAUUUAGACUUGGCCAGAUGGAAAUUUUAUUUGGAUUGCAUAUCUAAUUAUAUUGUAAAUAUCAACUGCACAUGUAGAAAAAUCCUUUAAGAAGCUAGAGUCUUCUGACUGUCUCCCUGCUUGAAAAGGAACUCUAUGUCAAACUAAAUCCAGUCUAAGGUUAUUUCUUCAUGCAGACCUUACAGAUACAUAUAUUUUGUGUGUGUGUGAUGUUAGUUGAUGGGGGUGUCUGGAUAGGCUUGGAUUUCCAGAGCCAGUGCUUUUGCCACCUUCAAAGUUCACUUGGAAGAGACUUUGAUGCUGUUCUUUCUUUGCCCCAGAGUAACAUCUGACAUUUAAGUGUGGUCUCACCUAAUGAGGCUGUCUAGAGUACUCUCCUCUAAAGAAGAUUAAAAUGAGCUUGGCAUUUAUUUCCAAGUAAAUAAGGAGCAGAAAUGAUUGCAGAAUUCAUAAAAUACAAUCAAACUUGGUAUUUGAGCACAUUGGAAUUUAGAAGUCUAUGGAAAAACAUUUUAUCAUGAAGUUCCCAAGCCAGCACCUAAUCAUACGAUUAUGUGCUUAUUCACACAAACUAACAAAAAUGAUAAGAGUGGUUUCCAGUAGGAUAGAAUAAGUUAUGGGGAUUUUGUUGCUAGGGGUCGGUGGGUGGGACAGGGAAAUGGGGAAUAAGUAUUUCCCCUUUGCUUGGAGAUGUAUGAUAUGUGAAUACUGGGAACAUGUGGUACACAAGGUAACUCAGUAAAGUCCGGUUGGUUACUGGAGGUUGGUAAAUCCACUUGGCUAAACUAAACUGGACUUCAAAUUGGUAUGUGUUUGAGAUCUCUCUCUCUCUCUCUCUCUCUUUCUCUCUCUCACACACACACACACACUCUCACACACACACACACACACACACACACUCCUCAAUGUAAAGCAUUUUGUUGCAAGGUUUUGUUGCACUUAGUCACAAGUAAGUACUUAUAUAUAUGUAUCAUUUACACUCUGGUUCCUUCACCACAUUUCUUGGUGAUAAUUCUAAAACAUGACUGUAGUAUCGUUCUUAACUAGGGAGACUUGGUUUCCUAUAGGAUGCCUUUAAAAAUAUGAGAGAAGAUUUAGGGUCAUGAUUUCUGGUGUUUAUUCAUGGCAUAGGAGAGGGAGCAGGAAUGUCUGCCUUCUACUAUAUGCAAAACAUUUUCACCUGAAGAACUGCCUCAUCCAAACACCAACAGCAUCCCUUAGGAAAUACUACUUGGAGUAUAUCCACAGCUCAAGAUUUAUGUAAAAGAAACAUCACUUCUUUCACAGUGGCAAUACGAUACAAAAUAUUUGACAACCUCCAAAAACUCUGAUACCCUAAAUUUAAAGCACAAGCUGGAUGUCAGAUCUGAUACUUCUUUAAAUCCUAAUAUCAUUUGCUAUCAGAAAGUUCUUCCAGAAUUCAUUGGUGCUGAAUCUUGAACCAGUUUCUCCUGGGUGAAAACCACAGUCGUCCGCCUUAGAGCUCCCAGCAUACUUGAAAACUGUGAAAGAACUUGAAUUGAUUCUCUGCCAUAAUGGCUGUCAGGAAGUCCUUUUUCAUUUGAAGAGACACACUGACCUGCUUACCAGGUAGAAUUAACUUAUGAAGUAAAUCAGAUCAGAAUUUCGAAUUCAGUAGCAGCUGUUUUUAGCACCACUGCUUUGUAUAUUUUGGGCUCAGUGAAUCCAGGAAUAUGCUCAAGGCUGGGAGUUUUCCUGUCAGAUUGAUGGGCUCUCAGAAAUAUCCUGCAGUGCACAGUUAUUAGCUAAUGUGGGAGAAGAUACAAGGGCCCAGAGAUACAGCUGCUUUACCCAUGGGCCAGGGAGGGAGAUGGAGAAUCUAAUCAGUGACAGUGUUGUCCAGGGACUAUUUUAAUAAAUCAAGAUUCUAACAGAAUGGAGUUUGAAAUUGAAUAACAAGAAAAUGCUAAUUUUUGAUCUACAAAUUACUGAGAUUUAUUUUGGACAUAAGAGACAGGGUAGAAAUAUAAAUCUUGAGUGAAUGAAUAAAUUCAUGAAGUAAAACACCAUGAGGCAUUGUUUUUCAAAAAUUUACAUUCCAUUUCUAGUACAUGUCAUUUAUUUCCCUGGACUGUAGUACACCCCUGGUAUGUAUUAGCAUUUUCCUAUUGUUAAAUUAUGACACCCACUUACCCUAAAAAAUUGACAUAGAUUAAAGAGCACCAUUGACAUCUUUAACACAUGUAUCAUUGAUCUAACCCUAUUUUUAUUUUAGUUUGUAUGAUCAAUAAAACCCAAAUGGUAGAUUUAGAUGAUUUAUAGACAAUUGGGGUUUCCCUUUUACCUUGGAGAGUUUAAAAAAAAAAAAAAACUAGGAGAAUGAAUUGCCUUACGGAUUUAAUGAAACCAUAAGCAAGAACUUUGCAAAUAAAUUUUGCUUUUGCUCUCUGGAUACUCUAUUGUACAAUAAUUUCUUUGCUCUAUUUUGGUCUAGUUUUUUUUUCAUCACUAUCAUGUUGAGUAUUAUUGUCUUAAAUACUAGUAAGUGAAACGAUUCAGAUUUGAAAAUUUUUUUGGAUGUAAAAUUUUCAGAUUAGGGAUGUUUAACCUAAAUCAAAAUUGGGACUUGUUCAUUCACACAAGCCAAGUUCCUAUAAUAAUACUCAUAAAUCCCAUUGGAAAAUAAAUAAUUUUAAAAUACAUAUGACUAAGUCAAGAAAAUAUUAUAACCAUGACAAUGGGAUAAUUUCCAUUAUAUGCAAAGAGUAUCUGCAAAUCAAAAAGAAAAGUGUGAGAAGCCCUUUGGGAAAAUAGAUAAAAUAUACCAACAAGAUCUUCACAAGAAACAAAAUACAAAUGCUCAGCUUCAUUUGACAAUGAAAUUUUUAACCUAUCAAAUUGACAAAAACCAAAGGUUGAAAAUAUCUAGUGUCGGUAUAUAUGGAAAUAUGUGCCCAAUUUUGGUAAAUAUAGACAACGACAUGUGAAAGAUAGUUUUGCCACCUCUGUCAAAUUUUAAAUGUGUAUGCCGUUGAGUCCUGUAAUUUUACCUCUAGGAAUUUAUUCUGUGUAUAUAUGCAAUAUUAUAUUUUAGUAACAAAUGGAAAUAACCCAAUGAUUCAUCAAUAGCAAAUAGUUCAAGUUAUAUGUAGAUGUAUAGUGAAAUAUUCUAAAAGUAUUAUGAAUAAUGCAAAAGCUUUGAACUCAUAGAAAUUUAAGAGCAUAUGUUUUUCUUUUCUUAAAAGUCUACUGUACAGGGCUGGGUUGUGGCUCAGUGGUAGAGUGCUUGCCUAGCAUGUGUGAGGCCCUGGGUUUGAUCCUCAGCACCACGUACAAAUAAAUGAAAUAAAGGAAUUGUGUCCAUUUACAACUAAAAUUAUACAUAUAUAUAUAUAUAUAUAUAUAUAUACACACACAUAUAUAUAUGUAUAAAGUCUAUUGUAUAACAACUAUAUUAAACAAACGUAUAAUCACAUUUAUAUGCUUGAACAAGUCAUAUUUAUAGUGAGAUUUAGGUUGUGGAGGGGAAGGCAAGAAGUGAUACUCUUUAUAUCUUCAAAAACUUCUUGAUGUUGACUUUUACAUUGAAAAGGUAUUACUUUUGUAAAAGAACAAACCUUUGGAAGUAAGUAGUCAGGCUGUCUUGUGUGGGAGUUUGGGGUCUUCCUCUCACAAGUAUAUGUGUAUCUUUUUUUUAAAAAAAAAAAUAAUUUUAAUAUACAUAUUUAUACAAAAUGAUUCUAUAAGCCACAUAUGUAGUAAAGUAGUACUAUAGUGGGGCAAAUUAACAUCCCAUAAUGUUAUGCAGUUACCCAUUUUCCCUCUAUGACAAGAAUAGCCAUAAUCUACUCAUUUAGCAAAAAUCCUGAAUUCAGUACACCAUUAUUAGCUAUGGUCCUCAAAUUGUAUGUUGUACAUUAGAUCUUGCAACUUGUUCAUCUUCCGAAGACAUCCCAGUUUUCUUUCCCCACCCACUCCCAGGGGUGGCCCCUAUCAUUCUUGACCUGUAGGUAAGGAACCUGUCCAGCUGUGUUCAACAAAGUUUCACCAAACUUCUGGCAAUUCUUUACUCCUAAUAAAAAUUCAAGUCAGGAAAUCUAAGAGUAGAGAGGUUGGGUAAGGACAUAGAACAAUUUUCUCAAAUAAUUGUAAAGAAUAGGUGUACAAAUUAUUGAGACCAAGGUAACAGAUUUUGUGUUAGAUUUGAUAAUGGCCGAUACUGAGACCUUUUUGAAGCUGGUGAAUGACAAGACAGCCUAAAUUUAUUCACCAUCCUUAUCUACUACAAGUGGACCUAAAAUUCCCUGUUUAUGUCCCUACCAUGAGAACAAUCUAGUGCAGCUCAAACUGUUCAUUUUCCCUUGGUCAAGUUCCUAGGCACCCCCAAGACCAGCUCCUUCUCCCCAAUAUGGUGCAGCCCACUCAACAGCUAUUUCACAUUGAACAUUGUCCAUAUGCUCACUGUGAAAAAGUAGCUUCAGGACACUCUUUACUUCACUAUAUUUUUAAGGCCUUAUCUUUGCAGGCAAAAUACAUGUCAAUUUCUUAACUUUUUCAAAAUGUGGUCAAAACAAGAACUUGAAAUCUCAAAUACUGAUUGCUCUCUGUUAUAUUUCCCCUUGACAAUACUUUAGGGCUCUUUCUUUAGAAGUAUUUACUUGUGGGCCUAUAAUAUACAAGGGGUUACAAGAUAAAAAAGACAUAGCUGUGUACUUGAAGAACUUAGUUUUACAAAUAAGUUACUAACAACUGGCAAUUUAUGAGUGCUACCCUAAAUAAUUUACAAACAAUGCCUGAUUUAAUCCUAACACUGAACCUGAAGCAGGUACUACUAUUUUUCCCAUAUACCAAUUUAAGAGAGAGAGAGAGAGAGAGAGAGAGAGAGAGAGAGAGAGAGAGAGAGAGAGAGAGAGAGAGACCAAGUAAUAGGUCCAAGGUCAGAGUUUAGUAAGUGGCAAACCCAAGGAGUCUAUGUCUAAGCCAAUGCUAGGACUGCUCUGCUCUACAGCCUCUCUUAUGAAAAGAUAUGCAUUAUAGACCAGCAAGUGUUUAAAGUCUUUUAGUCAUAUAAAGUACAAUGGUAAUUCAAACACUUCUGGGUUGAAAAUUCAUGGGAGUGCCUUGUCAGAGGAAUUUCAAGUAAGAUUUGACAGGCAGAAUGGGGGCGAUGGAUUGCCAGCCACAUGGGUGGAAGCUUCCAACUACCAUAAAUUUAGUCUAAUGCAUAUAAUCUAAACUUAUUUUACUUUUGUUAAUUUUUUUAAUCUUCUGUCAGCAUAAACAAAAUUUCAGCUACAGGCAUGAAUAAAGAGGAAACAUGAACUAGAGUUCUCUUUCAGGAAAUAGAAUCAUCAAAAUCAUAAGGGAAAGAUAUACAUAUUUCAUUUUUUCCUUUUGCUUAUGCUGACAGAUUUCUUUAAGGGAGAUGUUAAAGCAGAAUACAGAAUCAAAACAACAGAAAGUGUGUAUUUAUAAUUUUAUUUUCAUCUAGUUUGUUGCUUUUAUUUUGUAAAUAGGAAAGUCACUUGGAAAAGGUCAAGUCUCCUGCCUCAACUCAUUCAAUGAAUUAACUUGAACCUGAACUGUAAACUCCUAGUCUGCUAGUGCCACCUUAGUUUUGGGUGGCACUUUCUUACUCUUUGGUAUAACUCCUUAAGAAUUCAGAUUCUCCAGCAACCAACGGAAGUAGGAUAUGUGGGGCAUCAACCUUAUUUCAAUGAAAAAUUCUUAGCACAUUUCCCAUUUUCUCUACUGUGUCUUGAAGGGCAAUUAAUGAAAUAUCAAGACAACCAUGGACAUAAUCAAUACAUACUUCUGAUCUAGACAUUUCCAUUUUUAACUUUGCCACUAAUAUUAUCCUAGAUGAUCUUCACUAAAAUGUCAUUUAAACUUCUGUUCAUUAGGAUUUGAUAACUGGGGGUAAAAUAAACUGAAAAUACCAGUGUGCUGUUCACUCUGCAGGAAGGAUGUUGCUAAACCAUUUUUUUGUUUGUUUGCUCAGUUCCAUUAACAAAUGCUUGUGCUAUAUUUCCAGGAAGGUUUGUGUGGUUGCUGUCUAUCUGAAGCUUUGCUUAUAGUAUUUAGCAAGUGGUCUAAUUGCCAUACACAGUUGUAGAGCAGCCUGGGGGAUGAGUUUGCAAGCUGAAUAUGUUCUUAGAAACAGGCUGAAUAUGUUCUUAGAAACAGGAACUUUCUGGACAAUGUACAAUAGUUACUCUUGGUUUGUUAUUUUAUGAAGUCUGGGGAAUCCAAAGGAACCAACCUUUACAUCCUGUACUUUGAGGGAUAUUACUUUGUGCUUUUCCCAAUAAGGACAUUAAUACUAGAGGUCAACUCUGCCAGGUUGUGGGCACUGAGGAAUGGCCAAGAAUUGGAUACCAUGCCUCUCACCAACCAGCUACCUACCACCCAACUCCUACCUCUCAACAACUGCUACUGGUUGAGGCUGCUCUUGAAGUCUACCAUGAUCCUAGUAAGCUAGGGUCAAGAGACCUAACUUGAGGAUCUUGAGUCCUCCCUAGAUGCUAUUUCUAGGAAGGGAACAAAAAGACAGCAUAAAAAGCAUUGCUUUUGCCCAUGGGAUUCUCCUCCAAGGCCUAGAUUUGAAAUGAGAUGCUAUCUAAGCCAUCUAAUCUGAAGCAUGCUUGUUUAGAAAGCUGGCAACUCCAGAAACAUGAUGUUGUCAUUGCCUUUCUCUCUCAGUGUGGUGUAGAGGAACCAACUUGGUAGGAAACCUAUGUACCUGAAAUGGCUGUGAUGACUUUAUAUAUAGCAAUGUAGAUAUGACUAUAUCUAUAUCUUGGCUAAUGAAAGAAGAGAGUGGCAUGUAGAGAACCAGUCAAGUAAAGACAUUAUUCAUGUUGAAUGACACAUUGACAUUUGUUUCAAUUCAUCUUUAAAAAGAAAAACAUUAGAUUAGCCUCUGAAAGGGUAGUUUUUUUAGGUCAUAUGUAGCUAAUAGCUUGAGAAUGGAACACUUAUUUCUCCAGAAAUCAGAAAAAUUAUUUUUAAAGGAGGUAAGGGAUGAAUCUAGAUCUUGUGUCUGGGAAGGCACAGAACUGGAAGAUGCAUAAUUAUCAUUAUAAUUAAUUAAACAGCAACCAACAUUUCUUAAGGAUUUACUAAGUGCCAGACAUUGCAUUUUAACCCCUCACUACCCUUAAGCUGAAACAGAAUUAUAAAGGAUAUUUCCUCCAGUAAAGGGAAGGUUAAUUUUAAAAAUCUGUUUAAUCAUGACUUUAAGAAAUGCUGUGUGAUUCUUUGCAUAGGUCUGAAUGCGCAUUGUGAGUUGCAGUCACACUUAUAAAAUGUAUACAAAUUGGGUAAGCCAUCUGCUUUAAAAAAAUGUGUAUCCAACCAGUGGGUUGUAGAAAUUUCAAAGAUUUUAUUUUUUGACAGGAUGCCUGCCGUUUUUCUCUCUUGACUCCCGCUUGUUUUAUUCAUUUUGGGGUAGUUGCCAAUUAGACCCCAUUGGUAAGUAUAAUUAAUAGACAACUUGAAUUUCCUCUUAAACCCCAGCCAAGAAAGUUAACCAUAGAAGCCUUCAUUUCCUUUAAAAAUUCCUAACAUUAUCACUUCCUAUGACUGCCAUUUAUCUCUAUCUCCUAAAGUCAUCCAACCAUAUCAGAGACUAGUGACUCCUCAUGAUUUGUCAUUCCAAAGCUGCCACAUAGGAGAGCUUGGCAGCACUGCUAGGAUAUUACCAGAGGAAGGAAGCAUUUACUUAUGAUCCAGGCUUUCUGCAAGGCACUUUUAUAUAUGCUGUCUCUUUUAAAACAUUCAAAAACCUUUCAAGUAGGAACUGUCUUCCUUUCUUAGAGUUGACAAGAUGGCAGCUCAAAGAGAUUAUGUCCUUGUCUUAAAUCCAUUUAGUGAGGCAAAUAGAUGUAAACCAACACUGGUGUGAAUCCAAAACCCUCGUUUCUUCCAUCCACAUAGGAAAACAUUAUCUCAUUCAAGAAGAUCCCCUUAAAUUUUGUUAGCUUAGAGUACCUAAUGGUCAUCAUUUCAUUCAGUAAUCAGUUGAGCAGCUCUGUGCCAGACAUGGGUCAAGCAUUGGUUUGGUCACAAGGAGCCAUCAAGCAGGACUUUGGGAAGAAGAUGGAGUAGAACAAUAGGAGGACAAAGUGGGUGAGGUGAUGGGUUGGGGUGCAGGCAGUUGGAGCUCCUGAUCGUGUCCUCAUGGCUACAGUCUUUCUUCAUGUGACUCGUGGACUUCCCUUUGUCAUCCUAUGCCUGAGAAUAUAUGAAGGAGGCUGGGAAGGCAAAGGGACGUUCAAUUGUCAUCACUGGCAUCUUUUUUGAUCAUUGCACCAUCAUCCAAUGCAUUGGGAUAACCAUGACAUGAUAUUUUCCAUCACUGAGCCCAUAACUGUCCCAUGAGAGGGAUAACAACUCUAUGUUAAAUUCAUGAUAGAAUUUUAUCCAGGGAUCUUGGGAAGUGGGAACAAGUGACAGACUAACUGCAAAACUUCAAACCAUGUGACCUGAACAGAAAAUUAAUAUUUCUCUGAGCAGGCUAUGUGUCUAUCGACAUCUUACUGUCUUCUGUGGAUGCUCUCAUCUGUUCAGCCCAAUCAUGCAGACUUUCUACUGCCUCGACCAAUCAAGACCAAAUAUCAAAUUGCAGAUACCAAUUCAUGAUCAUUUUGCACAAGACUGUGAAGACUUGCCAUUUUUCAGAUGCUCUCAACUGACAAUGUUGUUCAAUAUUUUCUCUGCCGUUUAGAAGGUUGACCCUCUAGACAAUAAUUUGAUGAAGAAAACAAUCUAAACCUUGCCUUGUCUUCAUUUAAUGGAAUGACUUGACUCAAGUCAGCUGUGUAUCUUGCAAUGCUCAUUAAUGAGAAGCCACUUUAUCAAGAUAAUGAAGUCAAAAUCACUCUGAGGAACAGAACAAUUUUUAAUAAAAACAGUUUCAUGGAGUCUGCCUAUCUUGUUCAUCUGACUCUCUUCCUAUGCAAUCUGGGCAUUCUCUCUUUUUCAGCAAAAAUUUUUCCACAUCGGAAUUAUUCAGGGACUGAGACAAUUCUUAUAAACAAAUAAGUCUGAACAGGGGAAAUUCUCUACCAUUCUCAUCCAAUGUUGUAGACACUUUUACCUGCAGGGAAGAACUUUGAGAUCUCUUUGCAGACAGAAUGAUUUAGGUUGCAAAUGUUUAAUUGGCAUUUUUAAUCUCAAGGUCAGAAAAAUUACUGUUGUUCAUCAGAUUUGGAGACCUUCCUGAAGGGAUCCAAUCUCAUCCUUGUUUCAUUGCUAACUGAAAAUCCUUCCAUAUUUUUCAUUUUUUUUCUAGCUUCUUAUUCACCAUAAUAUCAUGUGGACCUUCUGUCCCACCCAUUCCAAAAUACUUGCAAUUUUUCUUAAAUAACUCAACCCAUUAUAUGUCUUUCUAUUCCUUUUUGAUAUUUGCUAAAAUUUGAUCCUCUCCCAUUCCUACCUGUCUACACUCCUGAGUCUCAGAUAAAAAAUCUCUUCUUUGCCCAUCCCAAUCCCUCACUUCCUCUGAUUUUAACAGACCCACAUUCACCCCUUCUGCUGUGCUCCUAUGUCACUCUGUCAUGGCAUUGCUUCUUUCGGUAAGAAGAGUGUCUUCCCAUCUUCUUGCUCUGUCCCCCAUCACAUGUAGAUUGUGGAUUCCUAGAGAGCAGGGCAUGUCUCUUGUCUAUUUUUAUCAUCCCCAAAACUUAGUACAGUGUCUGGCACAUCCCGGCAGGUGCUCAAUAAAUGACUGCUGUAAAUAUUAACACCUGGUUUACCUAGCCCAAUUUUUAGUUCUGGUUUCUAAUUUGAUACCAAAAAAAUGUAAUAGAGGCGUUUAAUAUUAAAAUCUAGAAAAGAAGGACAAAAUGACAGCAACAUAAACCCACGGAGGAAAAAUAAAUAGGAAUAUGUACAGGCAAAGACCAUUGUGCCUACUUCUGUUUAUUAGGCAUGAAAGCAUUUAGUCUGGGAAAUUUUAACUGUGUUCCUAUGAAAUCAUGAUUGUUGAUAAAUCAUUUCCAUCUUAUGAGAGUCUAAGAAUAUUUUUUUUUGUAGUAUCCAAUGCCAUCAUGGCUUCAGGUAUUUCCACCUAAAUGGAAUAAGAUAACUAUUGACUUUUCCCCACUUAUUCAAAGUGAUCAUUGCCGGUGGCUGCUUUUCAAUCUAGAUUUUGAUCAAUCUAUUGGGUAGAAAUGCAUACUCACUUUAGAAAGUUAGAAAAACAUAAAAUAAAUGGGAAAACUUGUACUGAGUACUUUUCUGCCAUAAUGAACAAUUUUACAGUGAGAUAUAUUUAGAAAAUAUAUGGUAUCUCAUUCCCUGGGGAUCUAGAAGAAAAGUGGGCUGAGAUUUUUAAUUUGCUUAAGAAUGGCUAAGGCCAAGGAAUUUAUAUAGGACCUUCAAAGUCCCUUCCCAAGGAUUUUAUAAUAAUUUGUUGAUCCCUUCAAAGUGUCUGGAGCAUUUCAAGCCCUUGAAACUCAUGGAUGUAAAAGUGAAUGUAAUUCAAAUAGACUUGAGGAAUGAUGAGAAAUAAUGUUCCUGCUUGUCACUAAUCAAGCUGCCAUUAUUUUAUUCUUUUAACCUUGAACCUCAGCUCAAUAUCUUUGAGCCCUGAGGGGGAAAACUGACAAAAAGAAAAUAGGAAGUUUAUGCCCUAAUAAUGGCCAAAUUUUUAGUUUAGUUUAGAAACCAGAACAUUAUGAAUCUUAUGCCACCCAUAGCUACAACAAAUAAGGAGCCCUUCCCCUCACUGAACAAGCUGUCCCUGUUCUGCACUUGAGGCCAGAUUUCAAAAGCUAUGCCGAGUUCUGCAUGCCACAACCCAGCAGGCAAGGCAAACACUCAAGUCCUAAAGCACAGGCUGAGGAAUCAGGGACUCUAAUAAGCCUUGGCACCUCUGGAUCCGCAUGGGGUUCUGUGGGUAAUCUCUGCUGGAAGGAGGGAGAGGGAAAGAAAUGGGUGUGUGCCUCUGCCAACGCAGGGAGGCGAGGACUGGAGUCAGCUCCUCCGGUCAUCAACCAAAUUGGAGCUGAACCCACCCUCAUUAGCAGCAUUUCUCCUACCCAGAACAACACAGGGGGCACAUAUUGAUUCCACUGCACAUUAGGAUUUAUUAUGAUUCAUUAUGAAUCCUGGUGGAGACUGGGAAGCAAGCAGCAAAUUGAACAUGGCAAACCCACAUGAAGAGUUUAGGGAGGAGGAGAAAGUUCACCCUUGUGUUUCUAAUCUCAGGUUCUAUUUACUUGGCAUACAUGCAUGGAGCAAGAUUUGUUUUGUUCUAUUCAUGUAUUUGUUCUCAUUAAUCAAGAACUGAUGUAUCAAGUAUAAAUUAUUCCUCCUAAACUUAGGUAUGUAGGAAAUGUCACACAAUAAAAAUUUUCCUUAAUUCAAAUACAUCUAACUCCAGGACCCUUUCCAUCCAGGUUUCGGUAAAUUCAAUCUAAUCUUUAUUAGGAUUCUCCCCCUAUUCCCUCCAUGUUAAUCCAUUUUCCAUCACUACAACAAAUACCUGGGAUGAUCAAUUUAUAAGAAGAAAAAUUUUAUUUAGCUCAUAGCUUUAGAGGUUCUAUGAUUGGGGUCUAUGAUUGGGGUCCUGUGGUGAGGCAGUUUAUCAUAGUGUGACCAUGUGGCAGAGCAAAACUACUCAUCUCAUUACCAGGAAGUGAAAGAGAGGACGAGAAAGAGACUGGGAGUCUCACAAUCCCCUUCAAGGACUAAAGUGACCGAAAGACCUCACUAUCCCCAAACACACAGAUGUUUGGGGAUACUAAAGAUCCAAACUACGGCCCCCCCACCCCCAUACACCCACACCUUUUUGCUCUCACUCCUUCAUUCCUACAGAGAACUUAGGAAAUUGGGAAGGAUAUCUUCCCUCAGCCAAGGUUACACUGAUUGAUAGAGUCCAAGUCCUCUUGAUCUCUCCAACCUUUGUGCCUUUGGUGCUCUUACCAAGUAAAGCCAGUAGGACUUUUGUUGCUGCCACUGACCCCCAAGGCUCAGCAGCCUCAGUUCAGCAUCUCACCAUGUACUUUGCAGCAGUCACCCUCAAAUGGGAUCCUGGGGUCAUUUCCACCCUCAUGGAGCUUACACAUUGGAGAAAAGGACAUAGAAAAUAAGGAUGUCAGAUGAAAGCAAAAUAUAUAGUGUAUUGGAUAAUGACAAGUGCCGAGGAGAGAAAUGAAGCAGGGAAUGCAGAAAACGGGGUGCAAGGAAGGAGCUGCAAUUUUAAGCAGACUGGUAGGGAAGACAAGAAGGGCCAGGAGGGCCAAGAACUGAGUCUUGGGACAGUCUCAGUAUCACAGGUUGGAUAGAUGAGUAGGAAUCAGGAAAAAAAGAUGAAAGAGCAGCUAUUCAGGUAAGAGAAAAACUAAGAGGGCAAACUGUCUGUAUGUCCAGGAACAAGCAUAUUUGCAAGAGGAAAGAAUGGCCAACUGAAACCAUCAGGGAUGUUGUUAAGUCUCUUUUUGGAUUUCUCCCCUAUCUCACCUACUCCUACCUUUCUCCAUCAAAGAAACUGCCAGAUUUGGUGGUGAUACACACCUGUCAUCCCAGUGACUCAGACGGCUGAGGCAGGAGAUUAUAAGUUUGAGGCUAGUCACAGCAACUUGGCUAGACCCCACUCUUAUUAAAAAAUAAAAAGGGCUGGGGGUGUCACUCAGUGUUAGAGUACCCCUGAAUUCAAUCCCAGUACCAAAGACACUUGCUUUUCUCUUCUUCCCCUUCAGGACAUUAGUGAGCUUUGGGGUUGUGGUAGUGGUGGUGGUAAUAGUGUGUGUAUAUAACAAAAGCCACCCAAAGAGCUCAUCUUCAGGAAAGCUCUGCUUUGUAGUAGCUCUAGACAGCACCACAACCCUUGCCUAAGACAAGACACCCUCGGUGGCCUUUUUUGAAAUGAAGGGAGGGAAAACCAACGGCAAACAAGAUCCAUUUAGUAGCUCAAUAAAUUUUCCUAGAAAAUAAAAAUUAAGUAUAUUCUCUACUUCUAGGUAAAGCAUUAGGUAGAAAAUAUACUAAAUACAUUUGCAGGCAAUUUCCCCCAGUACUGUGAAGCCCCUACUGAAAUAGGGUGAAGUGUUAGCAUAUUUAAUUUAAAUAUUCCCAGAGAGCUGGGUUUAGGGGCUGAAUUGCAAGAAUGAUUAUCUUCCAAUAGGGGCAAUAUCUCAAUAACAUACAAGUAAGCUGUCUAUCAAUUCUUGGUUUACAGGAUCAAAUUUUCAACUUGGAGAGUAUCUAAUGGAUCACAAACACAUGCUUAACAAGCAAACAGAUGUGGCCUUCUAUGAAUCAUUUAUUUACCACAUUAGUUAAGCUCAGGCAUGGGGUGGACAUACGAUAGCCCAUAAGCCAAAUCCAGGGCACCAACUUUUUUUUUUUAAAUAUAAAGCUUUAUUUCAGUGUAGCCAUGUUAAUUCCUAAUGUAGGGUCUGUCUCUGGACGCUUUUGUGCUCUAACUACAGAACUGAAUGGUUGCAAGAGGCCAUCUGGCCUGCAAAGCUGAAAAUAUUUACUCAUCUGGCCCUUUACAAAAAAAGUUUGCUGAUGCCUCCCUUAGACUUUAAAUAGACUGCUGAAAACUGUUGUUCAUGAAUGUUUCAGUCCCACUCCAUGGACUUUAUUUGUUCUCAGGCCACAUCAAUUAAAAAAAAAAAAAAACAGGCAAAAACUCUCUCCCUACAGUUUUAUGUCAGGGCACUCAUUCUCAAAGUGUGGUCCAGUGAAAUCACCUGAAAAUUCCUUUGAAAUAUAAAUGUUCAGAUCUCCCUCUACACCUACCGAUCAGAAGCUGUGGGAAUGGAGCCCAGCAGUGUGCAAUUUAAUAGCUCUUUUAGGUGAUUCAUCGGCAAGCUAAAACCGAGAGCCAUUGUUCUAGAGCAAACAUUGAGAAGAAGAGCCCAUGAUUUGAAAUGGUGAUUUCUACACACCCCUUGCUACAAUAAUUUUCAAUGGGCAAACUCCUUUUUGCAUACUAGAAUUGGCAUUUUAAGAACAUCCUUUAUAGUGCUACUUUCUUAUUGGUAACCUUAGGAUAGCCCACUUUGUAGACAAUGGUAUUGGCAGUUAUUAUUGGAGUUAAAUGGUUAUUUGGUGCCAGCUGUGGGGAAGAGCCAAGUAGCUGUUUCAUAUAGACAUGACAGAGUGAGAUAAUGAGGUUAAGUACUCCAGUGAUUAAAGACCCAAAAUACCCAUUGCAUGCCUCUGGGUCAUAACUGUCUCCCAAUUCCUCAUCAUCAUGCACUGGAUGCAUUUAAGUGCUAUAAUGUAAUGAGGCAUUUAUUUCCAAGAAAAAAAGUAGCAGGGUUUAGUUCCAGCACCAUCAAGGAUAUGCUAGAACAUGAGAAAAAAGUUUCCCUAGGUAUUUGUCCUCAUAUAGGAUAUGCCAGGUGCUGCUGUAUUGUUGCUCUUUUCCUUUGCUUAAUGAUCUACUCCUUCCCUGGAGCUCCAUCCCUCCCUGUGUCUGGAGAAAGGAAUCGCUCUGAUAAUGAACAGCUGUGGUUUAGAUGCAGCUAGAAACCCCGAAGCGGGGAGUGUUGACCUUUUUAAGCCAGGAAGUGAUGCAACAACGGGGUACAGUGAACAAACACAGGCCUCUUUUUUAAAAUAUCUGAAUUUGCCAUCAAGUUUUAAAAGCUACCAGAAAUGAGUUUGAGACCCUAUGAUAUGAGUGAAAUAGAGUGACCAUACAUACUCUGUCUGGUUUGAAUUAAGUAGCUCAAUUCAUACCUGUCAUAUCAGAGUAAUUACCAAUGAUGACCUCUCCACAAAGGUGUCCUGGUGGUAUGAUAAGUGUGAUAUUGUCCCCUUAGUGCAUAAAACCAAAUGAAUAGAGCACAGACUCUAGAAUUCCUAGCAGAUCUCUGCUUGAAACUCAAUUCAGACAAUUACAGUUGUGUGAAUUUUGCAGUUUAUUCCUUACCCCUCAUUUUCCUUAACUGUAAAAUAGGAAUAAUAGUAUCUCUAUUAUAAGAUUGUUGAGCAGACUGAGAAAGCAUAGACUACCCGCCUGGCUGAAUGUCUGACACUUGGUAGGUGCUCAUUGACUGCCCCUUCCCUUAGGGAAAGAGAAACUGCCUUUAAUCAGUUGUCUCAAGGCAAGUCACUACACUUUUAAUUCUUCACUGCAACCCAGAAAUUCAUAAGCAACCUUGUUUUUAUUCCAUUUGUAAUUUGUUUUUUUUAACAUGUUGCCAGUUUCUUUAUAAAAACUAUAAUGACAUUUUAAUUUUUUCCUUUCAGAGAAAGUCAUAUUUUCACUUAAAAAAUAAGUCCAGAUUCCCAAAGUAAAACCAGAGCUCAAGUUUGUUAGAUGCUAUUGCAAAGUAAAUGGCAGAAACAGAAAGGGCAGAAUUGCACUCCAUAGUGUUGGAACUUGAGGAGGCCCAACACACUAUGCCCCAUUCUUGACAAGAAUCAAAUUGACUAAGAGCCACUGCAGUCAGGUGGAUGGAAAUUAAAGUAUCAUUUUUAUUAAUGAUGACAUUUUUAUGUGACUUAGUGUGAGGGGCAAAUGUAUUUGCCUACCCACCUCAGCUCCCAAAGACCUUCACGCAGAUCACUGGUCCCUGGAGGCAAAGGAAGAAAGCCAAAUCCCCUUCAAUGAAGAACUUAUAGUAGUUCUAGCAAUCCUUGGUUUAUACCCAAAGGACUUAAAAUCAGCAUACUAUAGAGAUGCAGCCACAUCAAUGUUUAUAGCAGCUCAAUUCACAAUAGCUAGACCGAGGAUGGAACCAACCUAGGUGUCCUUCAGUAGAUGAAUGGAUAAAGAAAAUGUGGUAUAUAUACACAAUGGUGUAUUACUGAGCUUUAAAGAAGCGUGAAAUUAUGGCAUUUGCCAGUAAAUUAUUAGAGUUGGAGAAUAUCAUACUAAGCGAAAUAAGCCAAUCCCACAAAACCAAAGGCCAAAUGUUUUCUCUAAUAUGCAGAUGCUAAUUUACAAUAAGGCGGGGGACACUAGGGAAGAAUAGUGUUACCUUAGAUUAGGUAGAGGAAAGUAAUGAGAGGGGAAGGGAGGGGAUGUGGGGAUAGGAAAGAUAGUAGAAUGAAACAGACAUCAUUACUGUAUGUAUAUAUGUGACUGAAUGACCAAUAUGAUUCUGCAACAUGUACACUCAGAAAAAUGAAAUUAUAUCCCAUUUAUGUAUGGUAUAUCAAAGUGCUUAAAUGCAUUCUACUGUCAUAUAUAACUAAUUAAAACAAAUAAAAAUAAGAAAUAGACAAUAGAUGUGGAGGAUGUAGCUCAGUGGUAGACAACUUCCCUAGCAUGCGCGUGCACAAGACACACAGAGAGAGAGAGAGAGAGAGAGAGAGAGAGAGAGAAUAGCCAUAUAAUCAGUUAUUGAAUGAAUUCCCCAUACAGAUGAGUACAACAGAAAAGGACAUGGGCUAGAUAUGUCACACUAAUGGAACCCCCCCCACACACACACAUAAAUAUGAAACAUUGUCAUCACCUUAUCACCCUUAUUUCUGAGGAUUUAAUCACAGUAAAGAUUUGAUCAGACCUGACAUUACAACUUAUAUUUUGGAAAAGAUGCCCAGAUAAUAAAAUACAAACAAUUCAUCACUUUUUUUAAAAACUUGGAUCAGAGAUUAAACCCACAAUAUGGCAUCCACAGCCAGCCAAAUAAUUGAUCUAAAAUAAUCAAUGCCCCUUUCCUUAGUCUCAUGUAUAAUAACAGCAGUUGUUAUUUUAAUAACCUCGGAAGUGAACGAAGGUCAUCCCCAGCCUAGUGCACUUUAGCUACUAAAACAGAUCAAUCGCCUCAGUGGGAUCAGAAUUUGGUUUUUAUUUCAGUCUCAUAGAUCCUAUUCAUUUCAACCAGAGGAAAUAAUAGCUUCAUGGGCAUCCUUCCAGCAAGGGGGAAGAAUGUAAACCUUUGUUUAUGUCUGUCUCCCCAGUGGCUGAGACACUUUGUUCUUCUAACCAGGUUCAUUUCUGAGAAAUUGCACAGCUUCAAUUUAAAAGAGUAGGACAGCUGAACUGAAAUUGGCUAUUCCAGUCCCUAAGAAUUGGGUUUUUUGGAUAUAAUCCAAAUGGACAAGUGAAAUAGAAACACCCCUUCCCCCACCAAGUCUUUCAACAUGUUCUUCUCUAGGUCCCAGACUACUGCUUAGGUCCAGUAGUUAAGGUAAGUAAAAGGAUGCCACAGAGCAACCUAAAUGGUUGUCACCUCCAUUUUCAACAGGACAUAUCAGCAAUUACUGAGGUAUGCCAGUCAGUCCUUUUGUAACUAUCAAUUUAUUCCUUUCACUUUGGCUAUACUGUUCCCAAAGUACGUACUCCUAAACAUUGUACACUUCUUAUUUUAUCUCCAAGCAUUUGUUUGAACUACCUUCUCAGGGUAAGGCACUAUGGGAACCAGCAUGUUACCCAAGAGACGUGGGGAAUGUCGGUCAGAAGGAGCUCAUAAGUUAGCAGGGAGGGGGAAAAAAAGGCAUUCGUUAAAAGCAAGGCACAAUAAAAUAACUGCCAAAAGACAGUUUUUUAAGUGAACAUUGGAUCACAAAGGAAUGAAAAUUUAAUAUUACCCGAGGGAGUUGGGAUGGAUCCUGGGAACUGGUAACAUUUGAACCAGACUUUGAAGAUUGAGUUGGAGUCUCUGAGGGGCUAAAAUGAAUUGCAUCCCUCUCCCUCAUCCAACUUCCAAACAAUUUGAGAAAUAAAAGUAGUACUGGUUUGAACCUAAAAUAUCAUUUUGAUUACUUACCAGGAAUAGUGGGCUGAUGUGGCUUUAGGUCUAUGUAUCAAAUGGGCUUAAUGACACCUCACAAUUAGGCAGAACCCCAAGUGCCCCUUCACAUCCUCACCUGGCUGCACAUCUUCAGGUCAGAGCCCCUGGAGGGCCGGGGAGAUCUCAGGCUCCCUGCAGGCAGCAUAUGCCAAGAGGAAAACGGACCCGACUGAGGUGACCAAACCCAGUGAUUCUUUUCAAAUAUACUAAAGGGCUGAAUGAGUGAAGGGGCAGAGAAAACCCAAGGAUGGGCUUAGAAAAAUACCCUCCUGAACACAGGUAAGGGGAAAGAUACUCCUUUCUGAAAAUGAGGAUGACUAAGAGGAAGUUUAAAAAUAAUCCCUCAUGGCAGAUCAUUAACAUAGUCUGUUAAGAGGAUGGUCAGGGUGAAAGAGCUCUGGAGGUACUUGAGGAUGCAAAGGAAGGCUGGGUUUAGUACAGGCGGAGCCUCGUAACAACACUGAAAGAUGUGGGCUUUUCUCUAUAAGCAAUGGGAGUCCACUAGAUUUUUACAGAAAGAUAGUAUUCAUGAGUGAUAACUAGCAGAUCUGUGAACAUUGUAUGGAAGCAAUUUCAGUAGUUCACUGAAAAACCAAGUAACAUAGAUACUAGGUACUUAGCAUUCUUGAUUUUAUGAAAUUUUAAAUCAUAUCUGAGUAUUGUGGAUCCUCAGGUCAGUUGACUGACAGAAAAUCAUUCAUGACAUAAAACAUUGAAAAUGUUCUAUAGAAAUAAUUACAUCAUCAUUAGAGAUCUGCAUAUAGUGGAGUGAUAAUUCGGUAGCCUACUUUCCUGCCUGCCUUUUGUAUCCCAAAUUUUAGUGAGCAACUACUACAGGUAGAACAUCAUAUGACAUGCUGGAAUCACAAAGAUAAAUCUGCAUAAUAGAGAAGAGAUGCCUAGAUAUCUAACUAAUGAGAUACAACUUCAAAAGAGAUCUGUAAAGUUCUAUGAGAAUUUUUCUUUAUACAAUCAUAGUUGACUGACAAAUUUAUAAAGCAUAGUCAUUGGCAAGGGCUUUUAAAAAAUUAAUGCUGUAAGAUCACACAAAUGAGAAUGGUUAAUUCUGCCUAAUGGAGGUGAAAGGGAGGAGACUGCAGAAGACUUGUCUUUGAGAACAGAAUAAGUUUCUUACAGAAAGGAGGUCAAAAAAGCAUUUGUUAAAGGGAAAAGAACUAUUUGCAUUUGGGGCUGGGAGAAGUAAUUGCAGUUCCCUGAACACAAAGAAAAAAAUAUUUUUAUAAUUUGGGAAGGAUGAAUUGAUACAUGUUGCCAACAGCAACAUCUCUCUCACCCCUAUCACUUCCCUCCCUAUCAGCUCAUCCCUGAAUCCUGGGUCUUCCCAUGUUUUUGCUAUCCAUAACCCCCCCCCCCGGCUGCUCUGUAACUUUCUAAUUUUGCCAAGAACCUUGCAUGGGAUGUGGACAUAGAGCCUGGCAUUUAUAAGGGAGUGUGGGCAAGAUAUUAUAAAGUAAAAUGAGUUCAAAUCACUCCGGUUUACCUUACAUUUGAGAAGGCAAGGUCAGCCUUUUGAUGUGUGUUUUGAAAAGAGUAAAGACUAAGACCACAGCUUUGUUUGGGAGAGGUUUUUUCUUUUUUAGACUUAGAUCAAUUACAUUAAAACAUUCAGCUUUCAAACAAUGACCCCAAAGAAAAUAAUGCUGGCUUUUAUCUUUUAUGAAAGUAAUAUUUGCCUUACUACUCUUGGGAUUGAACAUUCCCUUUCUAUUGAAAUGAUUCACAGGGAUGCUGCUUAGAUGGCCUGAUAGUACACUGACAUUAAUAGCAGAAUAUUUCAAUCAGAGCUGUCUGACCAUAAGGGAAUAACUGUUCCCAUUGAUUAAGGCAAAAACCAAGUUAGUUUGUAAGCAAUUGAAGUUGGUUUAUGGGUUUUGUUAUUUGGCAUUUACAUCUCUUUCCAACCCACAGAACUCAAAAGACUUAACAAGCUGAUUGAAGCAGUAAGGAGAAGGCAUUUGGGGAGUGAUGCAAAAGGUCACUUACCCGAAAGCAGAAAUUUUUAGCCUUUUGGAUCCAAGAUAAAGGCAAGUGGCUUUCUCAGAAUAUUACAGGUCUGAAUGAGAAAGUGGUCAAACUUUAGGAAAGCAUGUUUCAAAACAUUUGUCAGGACAUCCUUUUCAUUUAAUCACAUAAAUCGCAUUCAGUUUUCUUCCUUCUUUAUGGAUCAUUUAAAGAGAAACAUAAGUUUAAUAAAUGUAAAUAAACAUCUUUUUACCUGUGUUUAACCAUAAAGUCCUUUUUAAGUGCCAAGUUCUAAGUGCUAUAUAGUAACAACUCACAUAUGACCCAAUGACCCAUGAAUUAUAUAGCUAGUCUGUGUGUUAGAUACUACAUAGAAUAUGAAAAUACAUUUUUGUAUAUGAAUCUGUAUCAAGCUACUUUUCUGCCCUUCUAGGACAUGCCUGGUUCCAGCUCCUAAGUUAUUAGUUUGGUGAAGUCUAGCCAUGAUCUCGGAUUUCUAGUAGCAGGGUGUAAAAUAGAAUACAGUCACAAUAGGUGGAACUGGGAGUCAACAGAAAGCCCAAGAUAGAUAGAGAUAUAGGCCCUUAUGGAACAAAGAACAAGGAGAUGAUCCUGUCCAGAGCUAGAAAGGACCUCAGGAAAAGCUUCAUCUGAGGGGCAAGAUGGGUCAAGCUUCUAAAGUAUAGAGAUGGUAAUGAUGGAAGUCCUUCUAGAAAAGUCCACUGAGAUCAAAGCAAGGCCCAAGCACAGGGCCCACAUUGCCAGGAAGGGAACAGGCAAAUGUUCCAAUCCAGGUGGGAUGUAAGAAGUGGUUCUGUUCUCCAGGAAUCUGGGCUAUUCAGAGGAAGGAUUGCCCUCUGCCCUUGGGCAUAGACUUCUGGGGAGAUGAGAUCUAAUCACCCUCCUUUCUUUUGCCAAGGGGAAGUUUCUGAUAUGCCACACAGGCAGCUCUUCUUUAAGUGAGAGAAGCAGAGCAGCUUAUCAUGGCAGGUAAACAGGCUUCCAAUGAAGUCAUCAACCUUGCUCCAGACGAAGCCCCACCUGAUACUGAUAGAUACUAGGCACACGCCAGCACUGACCUGAAUAUUACCUUCUACAGGCACACGCACAAGCAUGCAUACACAAACACACACACACACACACACACACACACACAGGGACGGAGGGGUGGGGGUGGUUAUGUUAUCCCAAAUUCCUCCUAUGCAAAAACCCCUCAAGUAUAAGUACUCUCUCCUUGCAGGUUUCAUACCUAGAAAAGUGUCCCUGGGGAUCUUCAGAAAAGCAAAUCAAAAAGACAAGGCCUAAAUGGAACCAGCUGAUGGUGGCUAGCACAGAUCCCUAUGAAAGUAUCUAGGGCACUGGUAAUAAAGACUGUUUUCUUGAACCAAGAAGAGGUGAAGCUGGGGGUGGAGAAUGUUUGGUAGCAAAUAAACACAAAUUCACUCAAAAGUAUAUAAAGGGAUAUAUGUCUAUAGGAAGAGUUGGCCAUCCAUGGUCCUCUUCCAUUGUCUGCAUCUCUCUCCCCACCCUUCUUCUCUGGAUCUAUGUAUCUCCUUCAUGCCUCUCUUCUCUCACACAUACCCUGCUUUCCUCACUCACUUGGAUCAUGUGAUCUCUCCCUUCUAUGAUUCCCUUUGCUCCUGUUUUCUUCCUUCAUGUGGGGCUUUCUGUGCCUUGAUUCACCCUCACCUGGUGUCUUCAGAGCCAUUACUAAUGGAGGCUUCACUCCCCAAAAUGGAGGACCCUUGCAGCCCAUCUCCCACCUGUUCACUUUGGGCUCGGAUCUUCACACCACUUGUGGGAAGGCAAAUGCAUAUCUGAUGACUAUCUCUAAUCCAAUCAGGUUUGGAAAAAGACAAGUAAGGCUGCCCUUCAGGGCUAGGUGCAGGUCAGUUCUCAGAGAGGAGUGUGGGUAAAGGGGCAGGAUGAGUAUUUCCAGCACAUCCUCCACAAAGACAUCUUCAAGGGCUUUCAAGAUUUCUCAGUCAGCCCACUCAUCCAAUUCCCUGGUUCUGUCCUUUGGCCUCUGGUUGCUGGACAGAAAAGCAAAACAAAAAGACAAGGCCUAAAUGGAAACCAGCUGAUAGUGGCUAGCACAGGAUUCCUAUGAAAAUAUCUAGGGCACUGGUAAUAUACAAAUUGCAUUGUACAUUCUGUACAGUUCUUGGGUUGGAAAAUUAAGUUCCAGAUUCUAAGUGUUGUGUAAUACUGUUCAGCAGUAUUGAAGACAGAGAAUUUUCCAUAUUAAUUCAAUAGAUUUCACAUUUAAGCCUGAAGGAUGAGGAAUGCCAUGAACCAUUAGUUUUCUUUUUUUUUCCCCAGUCUGAGGGAGGUAUUUCAAUUAAUCCAAACCCUGUAUCUUCAGUAUUUUGAUAACCUCGUAUCUCUUGCCACAUUUUCUGAGAAGUCAUAUACCAAAAUAAAAUAUACAGGCAUGUUUGUUGUGGUAGAUUGAUAUUAGCUUCAAAUAUGGGAGGACUGCAUAUUCAGGAACUCUUUUAAGUUAAAUACCAAUAAGAGUUGCCAUAGACAGGUAAUGACAGGAAAAGAUACAGAAAAAAAUUCACAUUAUUUUACCUCUGCUUAGUCCUAAAGUGAAGCAUCUUGUUACAUGUGGUUUUAUUUUGACUGGUUAAUUGUUCAUGAAGUUCUUUAUAUUUCUAAAUGCCUUCUUCAGCAUUAAUUUAGGCACAGAAUGAUAACUUUAUUAUGUACAUAUAUGAAUACACCACCAAUGAAUCUCCAUAUCAUGUACAACCACAAGACUGGGGUCCUAAUUAGAAUAAUUUAUAUUCCAUGUAUGUAUAAUAUGUCAAAAUACACUCUAUUGUCAUAUAUAUCUAAAAAGAACAAAUAAAAGAAUAAGAUAUAUUCUAUGCUUGUAUAAUUAUAUCAAAAUGGACUCUACUGUCAUGUAUAACUAAAAAGAACUAAUGAAAAAUUGUUAUAGCAGCACAAAGGAUUGGUGCAUUGGGUCUGGCAGUCAACAAUUGGGCACAUCACCAAAAUUCACUAAAAAAUAUUUUGCUUUAUUACCCAUUUCUAAGUAAGGUCAGACACAUUUCAUUAUUCUUUCUUGAAUAAAUAAUGUAUCCUACCUCCAAAAAAUAAAGGCACUAUACAAAAUAUCUGCUUCUGUAGAAGACCUAGAAAAUAUUCUGCUUAAAAUAAGAUGUAUUUUUUUCUUAUGUGACUCAUUUAUUUUCUAGGGCUUACUUGCUAAGUAGUUCAGAGAUUUCUAAUGUUUCCUUCUACAAACAUAGCACAAUAAAAUAUUCUCUCUGUAUAAUAUUUCCACAAUUGUACCUGAAUAUUCAUGUAUUUACAAACUGGAGUCUUCCUAAUUAUAAGAAACGCUUUAAAGAGAAAGAAAAAAAAUUUUAUGUUGUCAUUCUUAAAUACAACUAAUUACCAGCUUCAUAUCAUUUUCUCUUCCCAUUCAUCUGUACAGUAAUUGCUGACGUCCACUAAGUCUGCCCAAAAAUUAGUAUCUUAGGGGUUUACUUAGUUGUUUUGGCCCCAUUAUAUAAACUAAAUAUAGAAGUUGGUGACCAUGUUUCUGUUGGUAGACUCAACCAUUGAAUCAAAGACAGUGCUUUUUGAGGAAGAGGUUAGAUGAAGAGCACUUGUUCAAUGAUUUUUAAUGUUAUGAAAAUUAUAAUCACGUAAGCAAAGCUGUAUAAAGUAAAACAUUGACAAAGUUUCACAAUACCUAUUGUUUUGAAACAUGAAUUUUUCACACAAACUUUUGAAAAACUAAGAAUCACAUAAUCCCAGAGAUGGCAGCACCAAUAAUUAACUGAGUUCCUAUUAUUGCUACAAGACUUUAGCUGGUAAAUAGAAAUAGCUUUCUACCAUCGACACAGUCCUGAAUUAGGCAAGGUCUUCAGGAGGUCAUCUCACACAAAGUGGGAACCACCCUUUCUGAAUGGCCUGUACUAUAAUAAUCAUGAUCUGUGACCUGUGGGCAUUAAGACUUAAAAAUAAUUUCCUAUGCUGCAUCUCCUGUAAAAUAGGAACCAUUUUCCAACCACAGAUAAAUGAUCCCUAUAAGCACUUUAGAUCAUAUAUGGUGAUCUUCACAUAAAACCAAAGCACUGGUUUGAAUAAAAUUCUCAGCUAUUGAGGCAUUUUACUGCAACAUACCCAAUGUUUUCACAAAUGCCUGAACUGAUCAUAGAUAUGAUUUCAUGUCAGAAGAGAUAGAAAUGCUUUAAAAAACAAAGCUGUUUGGAAUGGUAAGACAUUCUUCUGCUCCUGCCACCUAUCUCCCUCACAAUGCCCAACCCAGUCUUUGUUUAAUCCAACACAGAAACUUUUCACUUUAUUGGGAGUGCUGGAUGAAUUGCAUAGCAGUCAGAAUGAAGUGUGACCAAAGUCUAAGAGGUUAUCUUACACAAAGAACUAGGGCUCCAUGUGUAAUUAGAAAGCCUUUGGUCAACCCGGAAUCCUGUAGAAUGCAGCUGCUGAAUCCAUUAUCCAAACUCAUGUUUUUGUGUGCUAUGAUGUUUCCAGUUCCAAAAUUGAAAAAGCUGAAGAGCAUGGCAAGCCUCUUGCCUCUUUUUGCUUAAAGCAACUUAAAGAUUGUUCUAAAAUUAAAUUCUAAUAGAAUUUCUAAGAACUUCUGCAAGACUUUGGUUAUAGAAGAAGAUGAAAAAUGACUGCAAUCAAGUAAGGAACUAAUCUACUUUUCCCCCAAAUCAACUCCCCCCAAAAAAUAAACAAGAAUUUACACACACACACACACACACACACACUCCCUUAGGGAUCAACUUUUUUCCUGAAUAAUACAUAUUUCUUAAAAUGUCAAUCUAAAUCACAUUUUUUCAGGUGUGGGAGUUGAAUUCGUCUGUAAGUUUAGCUGAGCAAGACAGAAUUUGUGAGGAUCUUGUCAAAAGGAAAUUAUAUUAAUUUUUUUAACAGCAUAAAGAAAAUGUCAGUGAGCUAUAUUAGUCCUGCUACAUAUGCAGGGGAUUCUCAAAAUGUUUUCUUUGUGCUAAUAAAAAUAUAUUGUUCUUGGUAUUUUACAAAGCUCUUUGCUUACUAAAAAUUCACAUCCCACAGAUUCUAACUUAUAAAUUUGUGAAUUUUUCCUAGAGAUUUUUAGAAUAUCCUAUGUCCAAAAUAUAAUUUAGCAAAGACAGUUUGAACAGAAAAAUCAAAGAAAAACAAGGAAAAGAGGGAGGGAGGAGAUACAUCCUGAUUGGCUAAACCUUCCAGGUAAAGCACUAUCAAUAUAACUGGUAGCAGUGACCUGACAUAGUUCCCCUGGACAUAGAAUUUUCUUUGAAAACCCAUCCUAGAACUUGACUCCAUGAGCUAUACAAAAAACAAAUUGAUAGUUUUUACAGAUGCAUCAAAAUAUUAUAAUUUAGGGUGGGGAUUUUGAGGUCCAUUUAUCAAGAUAUUCAUAUAGGCUUCAAGGAUCCGUGAACCCCCUGAAAUUGCAUGGAGGCAUUUUUGUAUCCAUCCAUAUGUUCCCUUUUCUAAAGAAAGUGUUGCUAGCUCUCCUAGAUUCACAGAAGAGUGCCAAGAUCCUUGCCUCCACAAAUUAGGUUAAGAACCAUUGCUUUAGGUCAUUGCUAAACACUAGGUAUCACUUUCUUUUCCCUGGAAACAAAGGCUGAGUAAGAGAGAUGUGACAGAAAAGUGUUACCAUGCAUUAGCAAGUUUAAUUUAUAACAAACGUGCUAUUUUUAGACCUAAUCUGAUUCUCUACCUCUCCUAACUAAGAAAUUUAAAAAUGCUUUUAUUUUAGGCUAUCAUAGCUUUUAUUGUCUAUCGAAUAAAUUUUUCAAUGUUUUAUCACUGAAGGAAAUAGGAAAGAAUUUGGAGUUAUAGACAUAUAAUUUAUGAGAAAAGGGAUACUAUGCUCCAAUUUUUACUAUUUAAUUUUGAGCUUUGUAUUAAUAUACUUGCUUUAAUUGUUCUAUUUUAUAAUCAGUCUCAUUCCAAUACAGAAAAUCCUAACCUGAAAAUGCUUCUAUGUUUCUAGAGGUUAUAACAUUUUCCAACAUUGACAAAUAUAUUGGCAGGAGAUAAAUUGGCAGUUUGUUACUAUCAUACAAAUUAGCCUUAAAAAAAAAAAAAAAGUCGAUCUUUUACAUGGAUGAACCCUCUCAAAGAGAGGACUUUUCCAGCCAUCUUGCUUGCUGUCCUGUAGACCCUAACUGGAACAUUUUAGAAAGUUCAUUCUAGGACUUCUUUCUCCUUGAGAAUACAGAGUGGAUAAUACUUGGUCUGAGAGUUAAAGUCCCACUAAAUUCAUGCUCAAGAGUCAGAAUUGGGCAAAUUUUUGGAGGAGAUCCUAAAAUGAAUGUAGAUAUAUCAGUUUUAUAUCAAACAGGAAAAUGGCAUAUUGUUCCUUGAUAAAAGGCAUAGGAGCCUGUGAAAGAGCAAAGCAAAGGGAGAAAUAAAGUAGUAUAUAUAGUAUUUUGAGAAAUACCUCAUAUCAGAAUUUCACAUUGGAAAAGAUGCAUUGUUUUCCAAAGUAUAUGAAAAGAAAUACAAAUCCCUAUAUGGGUGGAUAUUUUUUAGGACACCAAGUUCUCUCCUAGAAGAGGUGUGCUCUACUAACAUUUCAACUUAGCUUUUCAUCUUCAGAGCAACUUCCAUUUACUUAGUGGUCAUGGUCAGCAGCAAUGCAAAAGUAUCCCCUUCAUACAUACCCAGAUCUUGAGAGAAACCUAGUGUCCAAGACAUUAAGGGAUCCUGGGUCAAGACAGAGCAGCAAGACCUUUCACUCCCUGACUUGGAUUGGAAGGAAUAAUUCUCAAAACCUCACCAUCCAAGAAGACUAACAGGACCCUAGGUCACUUCUCUCCCCAGGUUCCUUCUGGAGAACAAAAAGAAAUCUUGGCUUAAUCAACAGUCAUCCUUUUAUUUAUAUUUUUAAAAUGUAGAUUUGAACAGCACCCAUUUUGGUGUAUCUGGCAUUUGGAAAAUUCCCUUAAAAUGAAACUCAAAUAAAAAAAAAAUAUUUUCUAACUUAGAGUAGAUAAAGCCCUGCAAGACUGAAGUACUCAGAUGUUAAAAGUAAAACAGGUCACAUAAGUCAAAUAAGAUCUCUAGAGCAAGAAACAGAAUCCCAAACUAUUAUUUGCCAUUGGGAAGCAGUUUUUUUGAUAUAAGAUAAAACCACAGCAAAAGGGACUAAGGGAGAACCAGGUGACCAAAGGUUUGAUGUUUUUUUAAGUUCACAUUUACAGAAGUGGCAAGAUUUCAAUUUUAUCUUUUUAAGAGAACUUUUAAGAUGACCUUCUAAUUUUUCUGUUACUUCUCAACUUCCUAAUUAUUCUGAGGACAUAGGGAGAGAAAACACAGUAUAAAUCCAAACUGAACAAAAGGGAAUUAUCAGUGAACGCUGAUGAUACUUGAAAUGUCACUUGAAAAUGAAUUUAAUGUCUCAUUGUGCCUCAUUUUUAAAAUUUGUUCUUUUUAGAUAUACAUGGCAGUAGAGUGUAUUUUGACAUAUCAUACAUGUAUGUCAGACAUUCAUUUUUUUAUUUUUUUAGACCUUGUUGGGCCUUUAUUUUAUUCAUAUACUUAUAUGUGGUGCUGAGAACCGAACCCAGUACCUUACACAUGCUAGGCAAGUGCUCAACCACUGAGCCACAACCUAGUCCCAUCAGACAUUCAUUUUUAAUACUUCCAUUUAAUACGUUAGCUUGAACUACACAUGCAGCACUGAUACAAGAAUAUUUUUACCUAAAAAUAGCAAUGUGCCAUGGCUUGGAAUAAAUAGCUUAGAGAUUUUCAGAAAGAUCUGUGAAACCCCUUAAUUCAACUCAAUUCACCAAAUGUGUACUGAUCACGUGCCUGGCGCCUUGCUCAGUAGAGAAGAAUUUGACUGUGGCAGGUGCUGUGUCUCCUGGGGAAUCAGUUAGGACCACCGUGCUGCUGAGCACCAGUAAUCAAGCUGAUCGCCUGUGGUCAGGAUGCUAGACCUGCAAUUUAGCCAGCAGUUGAUUCAACAACCACUCUGCAGAUAUUCAAAGUCUUUAAUAAAGAGAACUAUUUAACAUUUUCUUAUCGCUCUCAUAACUUCAGGAGGGUGGCAAUUUUUAACUUGCCAUUUUUUUAUAUGGGAAAUGGAACUACUGGAUAGAUAAGAGACUUGCUUAGGAUUACAUUUAGCUUCGAAUCUUUUGGCUGCUGGCCCAGUGCUUUUUCUGUUAACCGGUUCCUUUCUCUCCCCUCACCGUAGGCUCCCCUAUGCAAAGUAGGGUAAUUGGUGCCUUAGCUGACUUGUGCAUCCGGACAGCUGUGGGGAGAGGGCAAAGUCAGAUGGAUGCCCUGGGGGUGGGAUUCUGCUAAUGAGUUUUCUGUAAAUUUUCAUUCAAUAUUUUAUCCCUUCAUAUGUUGUCACCUCCCCUGUGCUCAGUAAUUUUAGUUUUUGCUUUUUGUUUCUCUUUUUGUUUCUUUGGUUUGCUGGCUUUGUGUUCUUUUCUCUUUUUUCCCUUUUCUUUUCCUUUUUUAAUGCAGGAAUCGGACAAGGGGUUCCGGUGGUGGCACUCAUCGUGGAAGGAGGGCCCAAUGUGAUCUCCAUCGUUUUGGAGUACCUCCGAG
RNAcentral lists this long non-coding RNA (34329 nucleotides) under Marmota monax (woodchuck). The stretch from base 14271 to 14360 matches the Rfam family "mir-204 microRNA precursor family". The record is from RNAcentral. Lineage: Eukaryota; Metazoa; Chordata; Mammalia; Rodentia; Sciuridae.